This is a non-coding RNA of Xyrichtys novacula (pearly razorfish), 7881 nucleotides long. Lineage: Eukaryota; Metazoa; Chordata; Actinopteri; Labriformes; Labridae. The record is from the annotation of a GenBank genome assembly.
CUUAGAGCUAGAACAGAGACGUGCACAUGAUUAUACAGGGGCAGGGGCUCAAGUUUUUUCCAGUUGUUUAUACAAUAUGGAAAUUAAUGUGAAAUUAAAAAACAAAGUAUUAAUAGAAAGGUAAUGAAUGUCCUGUGUAGGUGACAGUGAUAUCCAAUAGGCUAGGCACUCACGAGGCUGGCUGUGGCAAGUGUAAGUGAAAGCAACAUGCACUGGCAGGAAGAACAGCAAACGCCGAUGAAGGAAAAGGGUCUUUGCAGUGAUGGGCGUUACCAGAGAGGGCGAUGGCCAGAGGACGCGAAUAGGACGGGGAGGCAGCGCGUUGGGGGGGGGGACGCGACACAGCUCGGGCCCGCCAGUGCCCCAACGGGGUCCUAGUUAGGGCCCGAGCCAGCUGCAGAGCAGCCGGGCGUAGGCCCUAUUAUUCCCCAAGUGGUUUUUUAGGGCCCGAGCCAGCUGCAGAGCAGCCGGGCGUAGGCCCUAUUAUUCCCCAAGUGGUUUUUCUUUGUUUCUUUCUUUCUUUCUUUCUUUCUUUCUUUCUUUCUUCUUUUUCCUCCCCUUUGAACUGGAAAAUGGCCCACUUCCCACUGGCGAAAACUCAUGAAAUUUGGCAGGACGACCGGGCCUGGUGAAAAAUUCGAUAUUCUGAAGUCGCCCAAACAAUAAAAUGCAAAAUGGCUCCAUAGCGCCCCCUAAGGUGGAAAUUCACACUAUUGACUGUCACGCCUGUACGCUUUGUCAUAUUGACACAAAAAUUGACACACAUAUGUAUCUCAAUAAGAUCUACAAAAAAGUCAGUGCGGGCGUAUCUGUCAAAUGUACGGUUAAAGGGUUAUUCCGCAUUUUUUGCCGAUCCGCACACAUUGGAAUUUCGCUAACUCCUCCGAAGGCUUUUGUUCCACCGGCACCACAUUUGCUCAGGCCAAUCUACACCCCAUGGCCAUUAAAAGUUAUUCAAAUCAUGACGCUGCACCCCACGGUUUAGGUUCUAGGGGGCGCCAAAAAUAACCCUAAAAUCCACAUAUUUAAAAGUCUUAUAACUUUUUAUUUUUGUCCUCACUGGCCUCCAAGUUUUCUAGGAUGAUGCAAUGUCCAGCCAUCAACACAUCUGUGAAGGAAUUUUUACUCGCCAAAAGAGCGCCCCCCAUGGCAGGAGAAAAAAGUCAAUUUUUUCUUGUCCCCUAAGGUGAAAAUACACAUUGUAGAGUGUCACGCCUGUACGCUUUGGCAAAAUGACACAAAAAUUGACACACACAUGUAUCUCAAUAAGAUCUACAAAAAAGUCCAUGCGCGCGUAUCUGUCAAAUGUACGGUUAAAGGGUUAUUCCCCUUUUUUGCCGAUACGCACACAUUGGAAUUUCGCUAACUCCUCCGAAGGCUUUCGUUCCACCGGCACCACAUUUGCUCAGGCCAAUCUACACCCCAUGGCCAUUAAAAGUUAUUCAAAUCAUGAUGCUGCACCCCAUGGUUUAGGUUCUAGGGGGCGCCAAAAAUAACCCAAAAAUCCACAUUCUUAAAUGUUUUAUAACUUUUUUUUUUUUGUCCUCACUGGCCUCCAAGUUUUCUAGGAUGAUGCAAUGUCCAGCCAUCAACACAUUUGUGAAGGAAUUUUUACUCCCCAAAAGAGCGCCCCCCCCAUGGUAGGAGAAAAAAGUCAAUUUUUUCUUGUCCCCUUACAUGAAAAUACACAUUGUUGAGUGUCACGCCUGAACGCUUUGUCAUAUUGACACAAAAAUUGACAAUCAUGUGUAUCUCAAUUAGAUCUACGAAAAAGUCAAAGAGCGCGUAUCUGUAUAAUGUACGGUUAAAGGGCUAUUUUGCAUUUUUUGCCGAUUCGCACACAUUGGAAUGUGGCUAUCUCCUCCUAAGGCUUUCGUCCCACCGAUACCAAAUUUGCUCAGGGCAAUCUACACCCCAUGCCCAUUCAAAGUUGUAAAAAUCAUGACGCUGCACCCCACGGUUUACGUUCUAGGGGGCGCCAAAGAUGACCCAAAAAUCCACAUUCUUAAAAGUCAUUUUGGCCACUGCAGGAGUACAGAGUACUGCAGUUCUAGGGGGCGCCAAAGAUGACCCAAAAAUCCACAUUCUUAAAAGUCUUUUUGGCCACUGCAGGAGUACAGAGUACUGCAGGAUACACACACAUAUACACACACGCCAACAUACACACACACACACACACACACACACACACACACACACACACACACACACACACACACACACACUCAGAGUCUGUUUUUUAGCACCUGCAAAAACAUGCUGUUUACAUAUUUGACAAGAAUGCAGAGGCUUCCUUUUGCCCCUGAAAAAAAUCAAAUUUCAAACACAACUUGACUGUUCAUUUCUCCAAAAGACAACCAUGAAGCUCCAUCCAAACCUGAAGCAGAUAGUUGGUGCAUGUGUACAGUAACCUGAGGGGAGUGAGGUGACUAUUUCUGAGGAGAACAUGAGCAGUGAAGAUUCACCUUGGAGCUAGAACAGGGACGUGCACAUGAUUAUACAGGGGCAGGGGCUCAAGUUUUUUCCAGUCAUUUAUACAAUAUGGAAAUUAAUGUGAAAUUAAACCACAAAUAUGUGUGAUGAACUGUUUUUAAAACUUAAACUUCAAAUAAAAAUUGUAAACUUCAAAACACAUGCAAAUUUUUAACAAAGAACAUAGUAAUUUACCUCUAUUUACAUCAAAAUGCAGGCAAUGGCCCAGGCGUUCUUUGUAAAAUUAUUUACAAAACACUGUAUAGUCUCACAAAUGUCACUUUUUAUUUAUGCCACUACAAAAAAACAUGAUGUAAAUGAUGCAUGAUGUAAAACAUGAUGUAAAAAACUUGUGUGGAUCCUCCUCUAUGUCAGUCCAUGUGUAAUUUUUCCAUAAUUCUUUGUUUUUUGCAGCAUUUUUGUUAGUGUAACUGCAGAUUGUGCUGACAGUGUCUAUGGCAAAAAAAAAAAAAAAAACUGAAAAUGCCUCAACAUGAACCCCUGGUGGUCUCUGAGGGUGAAACCUGCUAACUGCUGCAGCUUUGUCAGCUUUAGUCUCCCAUGCAGAGCUCGGAGCGCAUGUGUGGCUCUGCACCCUUAGCAGCGUUGCUAACUCCUCAGUAAGGAAAGCCUGCUUCAUGUCAGAGUCUCUAAACUCCAGAAGAAGUCGAUAAAAGUCCCUUUCUUUCUAAAAAAAAAGUCGUUAGGGGGUCUGAAAAGUCAUUGAAUCUAACAACAAAGUCGCUAGGUUUGCAACUACGUGUCCCAGACUGCAUCCCUGCUGAGAGUUCCUCCCUCCCUUCUCAUGUUGCAGGAAGAACGUAAGCGCCCGCCCCUUGUCAAUCAGUCACCAUAUAAUUUUGGAUUGGUUGUUGUGGUGAAGUUUUCCACCAAUAGGAGAGAUGUUGUGGUGUGUUUUUUUUUUCUUUGGCAAGCCUUUUCCGCCUGUAAGACCUGUCUCUAAUGUCUGCAUGCUAUGUUUUCCUGUCUCAUACAGCGCGAUCGAGCGCCGAACGUGAUCAAAAUAGGCAGAAAAAAAGUAUCGUGGACAUAAUUUAUCAUAACUCUGGUUUUAUUUGGCCUAUCAACACAAUUUGAAAACUGGUGUAUAGUUUGAGGUCCUCACUUUUGAGAUAAGUUGAAACGGAGAGUCAACGAGGCUCCGUCUUGCUGCUACAUCCGGUUAAAUAUGUAAUGUGACUUGAACGCUGGGGAGCGUCAAUCGACUGCAGAGCCAGCAGACAAAGUAGUUGUGGCCACUGAAAGGCACAUAUUUGUCAUAUGCUAUAAUCCUAACAUAUUUUAAUGCUUUUUCUAUUUAAACCUAAUGGAUCUAAGGUUUGACCUUCAAAAUUUAGGAAGAAUAUGUUUUUGCAGUAAUGACCCCGUUAAACAACCAGAGGUCCUUUUCUAAAGUUUAUGGAAAUUUUAGUGAAGGCCUUGGUUUCUUUCCUUGCAAAAUGUAUAGAAAUAAUAAAGCUAAAUUCCAUAAAAUGGUCUUGGCGUAUUAGCAGUGAUAUAAAAUAGUGGUUUGAAUAUGAAUGAACAACAACAAAAAAAAAACAUCAACAGAGCCUUUUUGAGUUGGGAUUCUUUCAUUAUCACACAAAAACAGACAUAGACAGACAUCUAAAGGGAAAGGGAAUGAUCAGCCCUCCUAACUCUCAGAAGAAUCUUCAAAAUUCACCUCAGAAAUAUGCUUAUUAUUCUUCUCAGAGUACUGCAGGAUAUACACACACACACACUCAGAGUCUUUUUUUUAGCACCUGCAAAAACAUGCUAUUUACAUAUUUGACUAGAAUGCAGAGGCCCCUUUUUGCCCCUGAAAAAAAUCAAAUUUCAAACACAACUUGACUGCUCAUUUCUCCAAAAGACAACCAUGAAGCUCCAUCCAAACCUGAAGCAGGCAGUUGGUGCAUGUGUACAGUCACCUGAGGGGAGUGAGGUGACUACUUCUGAGGAGAACAUGAGCAGUGAAGAUUCACCUUGGAGCUAGAACAGGGACGUGCACAUGAUUAUACAGGGGCAGGGGCUCAAGUUUUUUCCAGUCAUUUAUACAAUAUUGAAAUUAAUGUGAAAUUAAAAAACAAGUAUUAAUAGAAAGGUUAUGACUGUCCUGUGUAGAUGACAGUGAUAUCCAAUAGGCUAGGCACUCACGAGGCUGGCUGUGGCAAGUGUAAGUGAAAGCAACACGCACUGGCAGGAAGAACAGCAAACGCCGAUGAAGGAAAGGGUCUUUGCAGUGAUGGGCGUUACCAGAGAGGGCGAUGGCCAGAGGACGCGAAUGGGACGGGGAGGCAGCGCGUUGGGGGGGGCAGCGCGACACGGCUCGGGCCCGCCAGUGCCCCAACGGGGCCCUAGUCUUUGUUUCUUUCUUUCUUUCUUUCUUCUUUUUCCUCCCCUUUGAACUGGAAAAUGGCCCACUUCCCACUGGCGAAAACUCAUGAAAUUUGGCAGGACGACCGGGCCUGGUGAAAAAUUCGAUAUUCUGAAGUCGCCCAAACAAUAAAAUGCAAAAUGGCUCCAUAGCGCCCCCUAAGGUGGAAAUUCACACUAUUGACUGUCACGCCUGUACGCUUUGUCAUAUUGACACAAAAAUUGACACACAUAUGUAUCUCAAUAAGAUCUACAAAAAAGUCAGUGCGGGCGUAUCUGUCAAAUGUACGGUUAAAGGGUUAUUUCGCAUUUUUUGCCGAUCCGCACACAUUGGAAUUUCGCUAACUCCUCCGAAGGCUUUCGUUCCACCGGCACCACAUUUGCUCAGGCCAAUCUACACCCCAUGGCCAUUAAAAGUUAUUCAAAUCAUGACGCUGCACCCCACGGUUUAGGUUCUAGGGGGCGCCAAAGAUAACCCUAAAAUCCACAUAUUUAAAAGUCUUAUAACUUUUUAUUUUUGCCCUCACUGGCCUCCAAGUUUUCUAGGAUGAUGCAAUGUCCAGCCAUCAACACAUUUGUGAAGGAAUUUUUACUCCCCAAAAGAGCGCCCCCCCAUGGCAGGAGAAAAAAGUCCAUUUUUUCUUGUCCCCUAAGGUGAAAAUUCACACUAUUGACUGUCACGCCUGUACGCUUUGUCAAAAUGACACAAAAAUUGACACACACAUGUAUCUCAAUAAGAUCUACAAAAAAGUCCAUGCGCGCGUAUCUGUCUAAUGUACGGUUAAAGGGUUAUUUCGCAUUUUUUGCCGAUCCGCACACAUUGGAAUUUCGCUAACUCCUCCGAAGGCUUUCGUUCCACCGGCACCACAUUUGCUCAGGCCAAUCUACACCCCAUGGCCAUUAAAAGUUAUUCAAAUCAUGACGCUGCACCCCACGGUUUACGUUCUAGGGGGCGCCAAAGAUAACCCAAAAAUCCACAUUUUUAAAAGUCUUAUAACUUUUUAUUUUUGUCCUCACUGGCCUCCAAGUUUUCUAGGAUGAUGCAAUGUCCAGCCAUCAACACAUUUGUGAAGGAAUUUUUACUCCCCAAAAGAGCGCCCCCCCAUGGCAGGAGAAAAAAGUCCAUUUUUUCUUGUCCCCUAAGGUGAAAAUACAUAUUGUUGAGAUUCACGCCUAUACGCUUUGUCAUUUUGACACAAAAUUUGACAAUCACGUGCCUUGCCUGGUAUCAUUUUUUUCAGCACAACCUCACCUGUGUCAAUUUACAGUUAUUUUACCAUUUUGACAUACUAUAUUUACACAUUGGACCCAAAUUCACACACAAAACAUAAAAUCCGAGUGGAAAAAAGUAACGUUUUUACUGUGAAAACCACAAAUAUGUGUGAUGAACUGUUUUUAAAACUUAAACUUCAAAUAAAAAUUGUAAACUUCAAAACAUAUGCAAAUUUUUAACAAAGAACAUAGUAAUUUACCUCUAUUGACAUCAAAAUGCAGGCAAUGGCCCAGGUGUUCUUUGUAAAAUUAUUUACAAAACACUGUAUAGUCUCACAAAUGUCACUUUUUAUUUAUGCCACUACAAAAAAACAUGAUGUAAAUGAUGCAUGAUGUAAAACAUGAUGUAAAAAACUUGUGUAGAUCCUCCUCUAUGUUAGUCCAUGUGUAAUUUUUCCAUAAUUCUUUGUUUUUUGCAGCAUUUUUGUUAGUGUAACUGCAGAUUGUGCUGACAGUGUCUAUGGCAAAAAAAAAAAAAAAAAACUGAAAAUGCCUCAACAUGAACCCCUGGUGGUCUCUGAGGGUGAAACCUGCUAACUGCUGCAGCUCUGUCAGCUUCAGUCUCCCAUGCAGAGCUCGGAGCGCAUGUGUGGCUCUGCACCCUUAGCAGCGUUGCUAACUCCUCAGUAAGGAAAGCCUGCUUCAUGUCAGAGUCUCUAAACUCCAGAAGAAGUCGAUAAAAGUCACUUUCUUUCUAAAAAAAAGUCGUUAGGGGGUCUGAAAAGUCAUUGAAUCUAACAACAAAGUCGCUAGGUUUGCAACUACGUGUCCCAGACUGCAUCCCUGCUGAGAGUCCCUCCCUCCCUUCUCAUAUUGCAGGAAGAACGUAAGUUCCCGCCCCUUGUCAAUCAGUCACCAUAUAAUUUUGGAUUGGUUGUUGUGGUGAAGUUUUCCACCAAUAGGAGAGAUGUUGUGGUGUGUAUUUUUUUUCCUUUGGCAAGCCUUUUCCGCCUGUAAGACCUGUCGCUAAUGUCUGCAUGCUAUGUUUUCCUGUCUCAUACAGCGCGAUCGAGCGCCGAACGUGAUCAAAAUAAGCAGAAAACAAGUAUCGGGGACAUAAUUUAUCAUAACUCUGGUUUUAUUUGGCCUAUCAACACAAUUUAAAAACUGGUAUAUAGGUUGAGGUCCUCACUUUUGAGAUAAAUUGAAACGGAGAGUCAACGAGGCUCCGUCUUGCAGCUACAUCCGGUUAAAUAUGUCAUGUGACUUGAACGCACACACAGACACACACACACGCACACACACACACUCAGAGUCUGGUUUGUAGCACCUGCAAAAACAUGCUAUUUACAUAUUUGACAAGAAUGCAGAGGCUCCUUUUGCCCCUGAAAAAAAUCAAAUUUCAAACACAACUUGACUGGUCAUUUCUCCAAAAGACAACCAUGAAGCUCCAUCCAAACCUGAAGCAGGCAGUUGGUGCAUGUGUACAGUAACCUGAGGGGAGUGAGGUGAGUGCUUCUGAGGAGAACAUGAGCAGUGAAGAUUUACCUUAGAGCUAGAACAGAGACGUGCACAUGAUUAUACAGGGGCAGGGGCUCAAGUUUUUUCCAGUCGUUUAUACAAUUUGGAAAUUAAUGUGAAAUUAAAAAACAAAGUAUUAAUAGAAAGGUAAUGACUGUCCUGUGUAGGUGACAGUGAUAUCCAAUAGGCUAGGCACUCACGAGGCUGGCUGUGGCAAGUGUAAGUGAAAGCAACAAGCACUGGCAGGAAGAACAGCAAACGCCGAUGAAGGAAAAGGGUCUUUGCAGUGAUGGGCGUUAC